AGGGCACCCACAUCAUGUGUGUGUGUGUGUGUGUGUAUAUAUAUAUAUAUAUAUAUAUAUAUAUAUAUAUAUAACUUUGUUGCAAAAGAAUUUUAAAAGCCAAAGGGGCAUUGUAUAUAUGUAUAUAUGCACACUUUGAUAAUCAUGUUCGUAAAUAAACAGUUGAGGGUCAAGCUAAAUCGUUGGAACAUAAUCAUAGAUUAUAACUUUACUUCACAGUCUUAGGCCUAGAACCCCACUAAGGUUAAAAUCACCCAAGGAAUCCAAACCAUUAGGACCGAAAUCACCCUAGUAGGUGAUACAUGAACCGAAAACACAAGCUAGGAAGGAUUCAAAAUCGAAAUCACAAACUAAAAAGGGGCUAGAACCGAAAUCACAAGCCUAGGACACACCUAGGCCGAAAUCAAACAAGUCUAGGCCGAAAUCACUUGGGAUUUCGGCCAUAUUAAGUGAAUUUAAAAGGGAUUUCGGUUUAAGAGAAGUAAAAGAUAAGGUUAAUUGACUUUAUGACUUGAUAUCUCACCUAAUUCCAAUAAUAUAAUAGUAUCCCACUUAUUACCCAUCAAAUAUCCAUGUUCUAACCCCCAGAUUACCAAGUAAACGUCCUAUCAUUCCCCUUCUUUUAUUAAGGAUGAGAUCACCACUUAGGACCUUCCCCAUUUCCAAUUUAAACUUCCAGUAAACUUUAGUUCCUCUCAAGAGCAAAUUCCAAGCUUACAAAUUCAAAAAUCCUUCAAGUGAUCCUUAGAAUUUUGGAUAAUAACAUUUCCAAGAAGUUCAUCCACACCAUCCAAGAGUUUAGGCUUGGAAAUCUUCUCAUCAUCACCUCAAGCAACCCAAAAAAACCACUCAAGGAAACAAGUAAACAAGUAUUCAAACUAUUUUGAGGGCAGACGUUGUUGCAUCAUGAAUUCUACUUUUCAAUUACAUAUAUUUGACUUUUGAACAAACGACGUUUGUAAACAAUGUAAACUUGUAAUCUCAAUGUAUGAUGUUUUGGGUUGCUAUGAUUCAUUUACAUUCAAUUGUUAUGAUACUGUGAAAUGACGUCAUCCACCCUUGGACGUUUAUGCCUUUCCGGUUUGGGGGUGCGAUAGAUUGUAUCAGAGCAUUGUUUUUAGUGAACUAGUAUAUCAAACCAUACAAAGAUAUACACUUAUAAAUACAAUGGGGCUAUAACACUCUGAUCACAAAUAUGCCUUUAAAAAUAUAAUAAUAUUUUAAGUAAAGUAUAAGUACACACAAAUUAGGGCAGUGUC
Molecule: non-coding RNA, 1259 nt
Organism: Lactuca sativa (garden lettuce)
Lineage: Eukaryota; Viridiplantae; Streptophyta; Magnoliopsida; Asterales; Asteraceae
Source: RefSeq, a predicted model, not a curated record